UCUCCGUAGGUGAACCUGCGGAGGGAUCAUUACAGAGUUCAUGCCCUAACGGGUAGAUCUCCCACCCUAUGUUAUCAUCACUUUGUUGCUUUGGCGGGCCGUCAGGCCUCGGCUUGGCUACCGGCUCUCGCUGGUAAGCGCCCGCCAGAGAACCCUAAACCCUGAAUAUCAGUGUCGUCUGAGUACUAUAUAAUAGUUAAAACUUUCAACAACGGAUCUCUUGGUUCUG
This 229-nucleotide unclassified non-coding RNA is filed under the name plant metagenome. RNAcentral's name for it is "partial contains small subunit ribosomal RNA, internal transcribed spacer 1, and 5.8S ribosomal RNA". The record is from RNAcentral.